GGAUCCAGACUUUGAUUUGGCUCAGGAUGAACGCUAGCUACAGGCUUAACACAUGCAAGUCGAGGGGAAACGACAUCGAAAGCUUGCUUUUGAUGGGCGUCGACCGGCGCACGGGUGAGUAACGCGUAUCCAACCUGCCCACCACUUGGGGAUAACCUUGCGAAAGUAAGACUAAUACCCAAUGAUAUCUCUAGAAGACAUCUGAAAGAGAUUAAAGAUUUAUCGGUGAUGGAUGGGGAUGCGUCUGAUUAGCUUGUUGGCGGGGUAACGGCCCACCAAGGCAACGAUCAGUAGGGGUUCUGAGAGGAAGGUCCCCCACAUUGGAACUGAGACACGGUCCAAACUCCUACGGGAGGCAGCAGUGAGGAAUAUUGGUCAAUGGACGAGAGUCUGAACCAGCCAAGUAGCGUGCAGGAUGACGGCCCUAUGGGUUGUAAACUGCUUUUAUAAGGGAAUAAAGUGAGUCUCGUGAGACUUUUUGCAUGUACCUUAUGAAUAAGGACCGGCUAAUUCCGUGCCAGCAGCCGCGGUAAUACGGAAGGUCCGGGCGUUAUCCGGAUUUAUUGGGUUUAAAGGGAGCGUAGGCCGGAGAUUAAGCGUGUUGUGAAAUGUAGACGCUCAACGUCUGCACUGCAGCGCGAACUGGUUUCCUUGAGUACGCACAAAGUGGGCGGAAUUCGUGGUGUAGCGGUGAAAUGCUUAGAUAUCACGAAGAACUCCGAUUGCGAAGGCAGCUCACUGGAGCGCAACUGACGCUGAAGCUCGAAAGUGCGGGUAUCGAACAGGAUUAGAUACCCUGGUAGUCCGCACGGUAAACGAUGGAUGCCCGCUGUUGGUCUGAAUAGGUCAGCGGCCAAGCGAAAGCAUUAAGCAUCCCACCUGGGGAGUACGCCGGCAACGGUGCAACUCAA
Molecule: ribosomal RNA, 911 nt
Filed under: uncultured Bacteroidota bacterium
Lineage: Bacteria; Pseudomonadati; Bacteroidota
Description: bacterial SSU rRNA
Rfam family: Bacterial small subunit ribosomal RNA
Source: RNAcentral